Molecule: long non-coding RNA, 1604 nt
Organism: Dermacentor andersoni
Lineage: Eukaryota; Metazoa; Arthropoda; Arachnida; Ixodida; Ixodidae
Source: RefSeq, a predicted model, not a curated record
GUGAACCAAGCAGAAUUUCGUCAGCCUCGAGAACGGACAUAUUCCCAAACGCAGUACAUCCAACAUCUAUGGAGCGUGACCUCAGUAGGGACUUGCAACGGCUUCGUUUAGACGCCGCCGGCACCGAUGCGCAGGCAGAUGGAGGAAACAUCGCCCACACGCAGCCGACGCCCCAAGCCCUUGGUCCGGGUGACGGCACUAGUCCAGAGGCUGAGUUGUGCGCUUCCUCGGGCUGCCCACACCGGCCACCGCCUCGUCCCUGCCGUGAUUGCCACAUGCAACGAUGGCUCCGGGUGCACGCUCAACGUUACCGACACACUUCGUUCCCGGAAUGGUGUCUUGACGGUAUCUUGGUGGCGUUAGAACAUAAAAAUGAGGCGUGCAGGCUGCGGACCCACGCGGUUUCCAUGGGAGCGUCGACGGGGGCUCGCCGCAACGUCUUGGAACGGCAGCCGCCGCAGUACUAGUGCUAACAUGGUUCCAAGAGGACUUCACCCAGAAGAAUAGCCAAGGAGUCAGCCUGAAAUGGAACUACCACAACGUUGGUGUGCUCAAGCAAGCGGCACAUAUUGCAGAAGAUGCACUGGAUGCAUUGUAUUGUUUUGCAGUUUUACGAAGACAUCCACAAUUGCAACUAGGCUUUGUCGAAAAUUGCCAUGGCUUUUCUUAAUGAACAGCUGCAACGUCUUCAUUUCUUGAUACUGUUACAUUGUACAGUUCCACAGUCCACUGCCAUAUAUGCUAUGUCCAUACAGCUUAAUGUGAAUGUGGUCCAAAAAGAAGGGACUUGCACUUCAGUCUAUGAAAACAAAAAACUAUGACCUGCAAACUGAAGAAAUUUUUAAAAACGUUUGCUCAAUUUCAUUCUGUUCAGGAAGCAUUGCUCCAUAUAUAUUGUUGCUCACAUGACAGGCAGUAGGCUUUUGUUUGUUGAACAGAUCUUUCAGCUUGAGGAGCAGUUGUGGACCAUCUCCCGCUACCGAGGAUCGCUUGGGCGGCUGGGCAAUACUCUUAAAAGAAAACAUGUUAUACUCAAAGAAUAACUGCUGGACUGUUGGAUGUCCUCCAGCAACAUGUCUGACAAUGCCAAAAAAUCUCUGAAACAAAGAAAAUGCUUCGCUAUUUACCUCACAAGCAGGAAAAUGCACUUGUUUACCUCUAAUGGGUCCUUUCCAAACUUUCCCACCAGUAAAACACGAAAGCCUGCUGCAAGAAAGUUCUCGACAAGGGAUAUUGUACUGAGCAGGGUUAUUCUUAGAGCCUCAGAUGUGGGCUUGCUCAAAAAGUGGAUCUGCCUCUGCUUUGGCAGAAUUUCUAUGCAGUUGCAGCAGCUGUCAAGCCAUGCAGUGCUCUUUCAGUGUAUGUAAAGUAAUAAAAAAAUCAGAGGUAUGCGUGAGGCCAAAAGCUUAAUUCUUACAUCAGCAUGCUCAGCUUCGUUGUACUGCACAUGAUGGUCCUCCGAGAGUUGAAGCAGUCAAAUAAUCUUUAUUCUUGUGGUGAAUUCACAUGUUGCUGCAGACUCAUGGAGCUUUUUGCAUGCUUAAUGUUCACUGUAGAAAUCCGUGGCUGUAGCUGUGAACUGGAAAUAAAUUUUUCUCGUCUCA